This 504-nucleotide ribosomal RNA is filed under the name uncultured bacterium. RNAcentral describes it as "partial 16S ribosomal RNA". It matches the Rfam family "Bacterial small subunit ribosomal RNA", at positions 28 to 523 of the family's 1533-position model. The record is from RNAcentral.
GAUAGACGCUAGCGGCAGGCUUAACACAUGCAAGUCGAGGGGCAGCAUAGAUUGUAGCAAUACAGUUGGUGGCGACCGGCGCACGGGUGCGUAACGCGUAUGCAACCUGCCCGUCACAGGGGGAUAAUCCGGAGAAAUCUGGUCUAGUACCCCAUAACAUAUGGAUCGGCAUCGGUUCAUGUUGAAAUUUUCGGAGGUGACGGAUGGGCAUGCGUAGCAUUAGCUUGUUGGUGAGGUAACGGCUCACCAAGGCGACGAUGCUUAGGGGGACUGAGAGGUUUUCCCCCCACACUGGUACUGAGACACGGACCAGACUCCUACGGGAGGCAGCAGCGAGGAAUAUUGGUCAAUGGGCGCAAGCCUGAACCAGCCAUGCCGCGUGCAGGAUGACGGCUCUAUGAGUUGUAAACUGCUUCUGUACGAGGGUAAAGUGGGUUACGUGUAACCUUUUGAAAGUAUCGUACGAAUAAGGAUCGGCUAACUCCGUGCCAGCAGCCGCGGUAA